RNAcentral lists this ribosomal RNA (363 nucleotides) under Russula sp. 329-505. RNAcentral describes it as "eukaryotic LSU rRNA". The stretch from base 1 to 105 matches the Rfam family "5.8S ribosomal RNA", at positions 50 to 154 of the family's 154-position model. The record is from RNAcentral. Lineage: Eukaryota; Fungi; Basidiomycota; Agaricomycetes; Russulales; Russulaceae.
GAAAUGCGAUACGUAAUGUGAAUUGCAGAAUUCAGUGAAUCAUCGAAUCUUUGAACGCACCUUGCGCCCCUUGGAAUUCCGAGGGGCACACCCGUUUGAGUGUCGUGAACAUCCUUCAACCUUUCUUGGUUUCUUGACCAGGGAAGGCUUGGAAUUUGGGGGUCUUUCAUUGCUGGCCUCUUUGAAGCCRGCUCCUCCUAAAUGGAUUAGUGUGGUCUGCUUUGCSGAUCCUUGACGUGAUAAGAUGUUUCUACGUCUUGGGUUUCGCACUGUCGCUUCAGACCCCGCUUCUAACCGUCUUGCAUUCAAGACAGAGUUUUAAACCUUGACCUCAAAUCGGGUGAGACUACCCGCUGAACUUAA